RNAcentral lists this ribosomal RNA (252 nucleotides) under uncultured bacterium. RNAcentral describes it as "partial 16S ribosomal RNA". It matches the Rfam family "Bacterial small subunit ribosomal RNA", at positions 524 to 776 of the family's 1533-position model. The record is from RNAcentral.
UACGUAGGGGGCGAGCGUUAUCCGGAAUUAUUGGGCGUAAAGGGUAAGUAGGCGGUUAUGUAAGCUGAAGGUAAAAGGCAUAGGCUCAACCUAUGUAAGCCUUCAGGACUGCAUAACUUGAGUGCAGGAGAGGUAAGCGGAAUUUCUAGUGUAGCGGUGGAAUGCGUAGAUAUUAGAAGGAACACCGGAAGCGAAGGCGGCUUACUGGACUGUAACUGACGCUGAGGUACGAAAGUGUGGGGAGCAAACAGG